RNAcentral lists this ribosomal RNA (708 nucleotides) under Triticum aestivum (bread wheat). RNAcentral's name for it is "partial small subunit ribosomal RNA". The record is from RNAcentral. Lineage: Eukaryota; Viridiplantae; Streptophyta; Magnoliopsida; Poales; Poaceae.
AUGGCCGCGACAACGGGCGCAACGGCCGCCGUGAUGAUGCUGGUUGUGACCGCGGUGGUCGCCGUCGUGAUGCGGACGUGCCUCCUGUAUUGCUUUGCUCCGCAUCCUCAAGCGUGGUGGCGGCCCGUGCCUCCGAGAUGCAGCCUCUGCAAGCCGUGCCGCUCGAGGCUGGGCGUGACCGCAACAUCGCAAGGCAUCCCUUGCCAUGUGCUGCCCGGCGUCGCUCUCAAGAAGCCCUCACGCCGCCUGCCUCGCCGUCGCUGUCACCAACCUUCGUUCUGCCGCCGUCGCCCAGGUCCAAGAGGAAUGAAGUCCAGUCGUCCACACUGUUGCCAGAGGAGCCAAGAGGGGCGCUGCGACAGCUAUGCGCGCCCACGAGGAUGCUGUUUCCUGUGCCGUCCCCAUCUAGGCGCCCUGGGUUCGAGGCCUCGCCAACGCCGCCCCUGCCGUCCAGCGGGCCGGUGUGCCACACCCCUUCACCCGUGCGGCGCUGUAGGGCCGACGCUUCUGGUGCUGUUGGACUGCAGUGCCUUGCGCCGUUGUUUGAAGAUUGGCAGGAGGCCAUCCUGCGCACCCUGGUUCCAACACCACCUCGAGCUCUUACGGCGCACCGUAAAACAAUGGCCGAAGUCUCCAUCUCCAGGGUCGGCGACACCUUCUCGCUGCACAAGACAAAGACGGCAAGCCGCCACAAGGCCACGCCCGUGA